This 2674-nucleotide long non-coding RNA is filed under the name Theobroma cacao (cacao). RNAcentral's name for it is "long non-coding RNA (TCAC_LNC004818)". The record is from RNAcentral. Lineage: Eukaryota; Viridiplantae; Streptophyta; Magnoliopsida; Malvales; Malvaceae.
UAUAAUGUAGCUAAUGGCAUCUCUUAGACUUCCACUCCGAGUCGCUUUGCUGCAUAGGGGUCGUGUCGUGUAAAAGUGUUAGACUUAUAAACAUAAUCAGUCUAUCAAAAAUGUAUUUGCUAAAACUUUGAGGUUGUGCAAUGAAUAUGUCACGACCCAAAUUCUGGGCCAUGACCGGCGCAUGGGCCCAAUGGACGUAGUCCACUAAGCCCAAGCAAGCAUAUUUAUAUGACCUAUUCACCAUUCCAUCAAAAGUUACUAAGUUACAUUCCAUAACUUUGAAUCAAAAUAAUACUAAGCAUUGCCAACUCAUAGUGGUAUACCAAUCAAAAUGUACAUAUAUUGUCUAAACGUGCAAUUUAAUAAUUUACAUCACUUGUACAUAUUUACAACAAAAUGACUAUAGGUUUCAAGCGGAGUGACCACAGUGAAGAUGUAGCUACUAAAUGCCAUUGAUACCUACUAAAGAUACGAAUCUACAAAGACACCUCGACCUAGCUACCGGCUGCCUCUUGAUUUGACAACAUGAAGUUGAAAAUGGUGAGUAUAAACCCAAUGAGUGAACAAGGAAGGGAACUGUCACGACCCAAAUUUCGAGCCAUGACCGGCGCAUGGGCCGAAUGGAUGUAGUCCACUAAGCCCAAGCAAGCCUAUUAAUCUGACAUGUUUAUCAUUCCAUCAUAAACUACUAAGUCAUAUAUCAUAACUUAGAAUCAAAAUGAUAUUAAGCAUUGCCACUUCAUACUAGCAUACCAAAUAGGUGUAUAUACACUAUCUACACAUGUAUCUUAAUAAUUCACAUUAGGUUCGUCUAUACACAACAAAAGGAGACUCGAUGUCCAGUGGAGAGACUCAGACGAAUGUACAGCUACUGAAUGCUGAGACACUUACCAAAAGUCGAGUCUACAAAGGUACCUCGACCUAGUUACUGGCUGUCUCUUAAUCUGAAAACAUGAAGUUGAAAGCGGUGAGCAUAAACUCAGUGAGUGAACAAAAAAGGAACAAGCAUACCAUAAGGAAUGUUUAUCGAAAUCAUGAUGCACUCAUUUUCUCAAAACAAUGCAAUUUGUUCUAGUUCUUAGUAGAACCCCUCAUGUAAACCCCUCAUGAGUAAAUCACUUAAAAGAUCCAUACUCAACUAUGGUACCAAAGAAUCAAAAAAUCUACCAAAACCCACAAGUUCGCCAAAAUGGACAGAAAGUUUCUCAUUGCAGCGAACUUCAUUCUCGCUGCAGCGAGAACCAAGUCUGGUGAAGGCCCUCAAACUCGAGAAUUUCUCGCUACAGCGAGAAUAAAUCUCACUGCAGCGAGGAUCAGAACAUCAAGGAAAAAGUCUCAUUUUCCCUUAAAACAAGCCAUCUUGCUAAAAUAACAAUAGCAACAUGUAACACUUGUAAACUCCCAAAUUUCAACAAAUCAAAUGCUCACAUAUUUGCAUUUACAACCAUAUACCCAUCAUCAUCAUGCACACCAUCCCAUCAUCAUCAUUCCCAGCUCAUGCACACUCCCUACUCACACAUGGCUAGGUCAUCACCGGGUUAUGCGCACUCCCUACUUGCACAUAACCGGGUCAUCACCGGGUUAUGUGCACUCCCUACUCGCACAUAACCAGGUCAUCAUCGGCUUAUGCGCACUCCCUACUCGCACAUAGUCGAGUCAAUAUCAUUACACAACAAUGUAUUCAUAUAUAUAUAUCAACACAAUGUGGUAGUGCAUGAAUCAAUAAUAGUCACAUGUCACAACAUGAAGACAAUCUAUCAAAAGCUUGUUCCCAAGGCACUUGUUUUUAUGAAAAGCUGGAUAAUCCAUUUAAAUGUUUGACAAAUACAUUAUAUCCCCAAAACAAGUUUUGAAAUGCAAGUCCACUCACCGAUAUUGGGAGUAGAAAUAUUCCUAUUUUCAGUCCGCGGGUAUAGUCCUUUACCCGUAUCCAAUGGCUCACCACCUAGCCAUAAUCCAUGACACAUAUUCCAAUUAAAUUAUGUCUAAUAGUCAUAAGCUAUUUCAGGCUCGAUAUAUAUAUGAUAUGAAAUUAAAAAUGCACAAGUGGGCAUCUAGACUCGGUAUUGGCGUAAGUCGAUUUUUCAUCCGAUAAAUUAGCCAAUGUGUCCAAUUUCACUCCAACUUGCUCCAUUUCUUUUUCAAUCCCUCAAUUCACCAAGCACAAACUAAUUAACACACAAUUAGGCAAAAUUUAUCUUCAUUUUUCUUCUUGGAACUUUGGCCAACAAUGGUACACUAACUCUGUGAUUUUUCCUACUUAAUUUUCUCACCAUUAUUCAUUAAUUCCUACACCAAAAACUAUUAUUUCUUAAUCAAAUCACCUAGAAUAACAUCCCAUUCUUCCUCAUUAUUCACUUAGAGAAUUCGGCUAUUGAUGGGCACCAAACCUUUGGUGGUUUUCUUCACUUGUUUUCAUGCUACACAUCAUUAAUCACCUAAAAACACUAACAUACCUAAAAAUCAAACCAAUCCAAGAUCAUUCUCUCUCCAUACCCAUUUUGACUACCACUUAUUCACUAUGAAAUCAUGUUUCUCAACCAUAGAAAUAAGAAAAUAAAGCAUGGGUAUUGUAAAUCUCAAGUAAAAAUAAAGAAUUUUCACUUUACCUUGCUUAAUUCCUUGGAAUCCCACACUUUUUCUUCAAUUUUCCCACCUAGGGUUUGUGUUCUUU